RNAcentral lists this ribosomal RNA (121 nucleotides) under Streptomyces sulfonofaciens. Its description in RNAcentral is "partial 16S rRNA". It matches the Rfam family "Bacterial small subunit ribosomal RNA", at positions 162 to 283 of the family's 1533-position model. The record is from RNAcentral. Lineage: Bacteria; Bacillati; Actinomycetota; Actinomycetes; Kitasatosporales; Streptomycetaceae.
UCUAAUACCGGAUAUGACACAGGAAUGCAUGUCCUCUGUGUGGAAAGCUCCGGCGGUGAAGGAUGAGCCCGCGGCCUAUCAGCUUGUUGGUGGGGUGAUGGCCUACCAAGGCGACGACGGG